UGGGGAAUAUUGGACAAUGGGCGGAAGCCUGAUCCAGCAACGCCGCGUGAGGGAUGACGGCCUUCGGGUUGUAAACCUCUUUCAGCACAGACGAAGCGAAAGUGACGGUAUGUGCAGAAGAAGCACCGGCCAACUACGUG
This 140-nucleotide ribosomal RNA is filed under the name uncultured bacterium. RNAcentral's name for it is "partial 16S ribosomal RNA". It matches the Rfam family "Bacterial small subunit ribosomal RNA", at positions 355 to 507 of the family's 1533-position model. The record is from RNAcentral.